AGGACGAACGCUGGCGGCGUGCUUAACACAUGCAAGUCGAGCGGUGAUCCUCCUUCGGGAGGUGAUCAGCGGCGAACGGGUGAGUAACACGUGGGCAACCUGCCCUCACACUGGGAUAACCUCGGGAAACCGGGCUAAUACCGGAUACGACCUCGAGCGGCAUCUCUUGAGGUGGAAAGCUCCGACGGUGAGGGAUGGGCCCGCGGCCUAUCAGCUUGUUGGUGGGGUAAUGGCCUACCAAGGCGACGACGGGUA
Molecule: ribosomal RNA, 255 nt
Filed under: uncultured bacterium
Lineage: Bacteria
Description: partial small subunit ribosomal RNA
Rfam family: Bacterial small subunit ribosomal RNA
Source: RNAcentral